Molecule: unclassified non-coding RNA, 400 nt
Filed under: Athalia rosae (coleseed sawfly)
Lineage: Eukaryota; Metazoa; Arthropoda; Insecta; Hymenoptera; Athaliidae
Description: misc RNA ENSAEAG00005001825.1
Source: RNAcentral
GCCGAAGCGACGUCGUCAUCAGGAGCGACAUCGAUGCGAGCGCGUACGUACGUCCUUUGAGAAGAGACGGAAGAUGCUAGCGAGGAGAGAGAAACAUAUUUUUCGGCUUUCAAUCAAUCAUCACGGUGCCUAGUGCAUCGCAUUACUCAUUCAACUCCCAACCACGAAGGGCAGUAGUCACAUGGCAUCGCACAAUUUGUUUGCAGGUACUCGGAGAUGCUGUCGCCGCAGUUAUGACCCCCUGGACUUCCCCUGUUCAUCAGGGGGAGUCCAGGGACCCGUCCCCUGGGACUGCGCGGCCUCCCACCGCCCCCGGGGUCCCAGGGGACCCAGUCCCCGAGGACAUGUCCUCGGGGAUGCGGUAUCCCCGCUGGAGGGGAUGCCAUAUCCCGAGGGACAU